Molecule: ribosomal RNA, 253 nt
Filed under: uncultured bacterium
Lineage: Bacteria
Description: partial 16S ribosomal RNA
Rfam family: Bacterial small subunit ribosomal RNA
Source: RNAcentral
UACGGAGGGUGCAAGCGUUAUCCGGAUUCACUGGGUUUAAAGGGUGCGUAGGUGGGCAGAUAAGUCAGUGGUGAAAUCUUCCGGCUUAACCGGAAAAUUGCCGUUGAUACUAUUUGUCUUGAAUAUUGUGGAGGUAAGCGGAAUAUGUCAUGUAGCGGUGAAAUGCUUAGAUAUGACAUAGAACACCAAUUGCGAAGGCAGCUUACUAUAUAAUUAUUGACACUGAGGCACGAAAGCGUGGGUAGCGAACAGG